RNAcentral lists this unclassified non-coding RNA (1908 nucleotides) under Leishmania donovani. RNAcentral describes it as "gene:LdHU3.24.1920(CDS-product:translationally_co ntrolled_tumor_protein_(TCTP)_putative)". Lineage: Eukaryota; Euglenozoa; Kinetoplastea; Trypanosomatida; Trypanosomatidae. The record is from RNAcentral.
CUCAGCUCUCUUGUUCGCUAAGUUCCACUCGCUCUCCCCCCGCUUUCUCCCCCCACUCGCCACCAUGAAGAUCUUCAAGGAUGUGCUGACCGGCUCCGAGGUUGUCUGCGACAAUGACUGCCCGUUCGACGUGGAGGGCGACAUCAUGUAUGUGGUGAACGGCCGCUACAUCGACGUUGGUGGCGAGGACUACGGUAUUUCUGCCAACGUGGACGAGGACGCUGCGGAGGGCGCGACGGGCGAAGUUGCGGAGGGAAAGGAGCGCGUGGUGGAUGUGGUGUACAACAACCGGUACACGGAGACAUCGUACGACAAGGCGUCGUACAUGGCGCACAUCCGCAGCUACAUGAAGCAGCUGCUGGAGAAGAUCGAGAACGAGGAGGAGAGGAAGGUGUUCCAGACGAACGCUGCAGCGUUCGUGAAGAAGGUGCUUAAGGACAUCGACGAGUACCAGUUCUUCAUCCCGGAGGGCAACGACGAGGACCCGGACAACGGCAUGAUCGUGCUGUGCCGCUGGGACGGUGAGACGCCGAGGUUCUACUUCUGGAAGGAUGGCCUGAAGGGCGAGCGCGUCUAGACGCGUCGCUGACGAUGGCUCUGCCGCGUGUGUGAACGCACUCGUCUGCACCCACACCCCGCAACACGAACCCUUCCCUUGCUCUCCCCCGGGAGAGCCGGGUGCACGCGCGCGCUUCUCCCCCCCCCUCUGUGCAUGGGUGCGCUUGCUUCAUGGGCUGUGCGACGUCGGAGGUGCUGCGCGCGCCCACGCGGGUGAUCACGUCGCCCCCCUCUCCCUCUCUCUCCGAGUUGUGAGGCCCUAUCUCGCUGUCUCCGCACACCGACGGGCAUGCUGGCGGAGGUGUCUCGCAUGCGCUCUACGUGCACCUCAGUCAUGCGGCCCCACGGCAGAGCGUGUGCACGCUUUUCGAAUUCGCCUGUUUUGUGUUUGCGCUUAAGCUUGAAAGUAAAAAAAAGAGAAAGGCGAAACGAGAUGGUGGAAGCAGCGGCGGCACACAAGAAAAGAAGGUCAGGCGUGCGGUGCAUUCGCAGGGGCUCGCAGCCACGCUGCCAGUGCUGCUGCUGCUGCUACACACGCACGCACGCACGCACUCACACACGGACGCGCGCGCCAAAGAGGAGCUCAAAAGACAGACCGAACGACGGGCGGACCGUGAAGCACGGGAGGAGGUGAGGAGAAAGGACGACCGGCAAGCGGGACGAAAUCGCCGCACGAAACGGGGCGCUGCCCAUGGCACAAACUUCGCGAAUGCGAGAAGAGGCGGACACUUGCGCGCGUCGCGGCUUCCCUUCAUGCGCUUUUGUGCGUCUCAGUGUGUGCGCGUCUACGCGUGCCAGCGGACGUGUGAUUGCCGCCACAAGCGAUAUCUGCAGACAUACGCAUGGCGCAUGCGUGUGGCGUAGCAGCACACGGCGAUAAGUAGUGUGAUUAACACAUCAAGUGAAUUAAACACCAAGAGAGGGGAGGGUGGACAGAGGCGGAAUGCCAGCGCCGACUCUCUGUCUUCUAAAAACGUGUGGCAGAGAGCAUGGUGGCGCUUAAGAAUGAAGAGGCAGGGGUGGCGAAUAGCGUAAGUCCAGUGUGAAACGGCGCGCUCUUGUGCGUGCGUGCUGCAGAGGGGUGCUCCAGGCGGAGCGCAUCCCCUCCCUCCUUCCCUGUGAAUACCCUUCCUCUCUCUCUCGCGCGCGCUCCGCAGCGCAAGUGGAUUUGUGCGCGUGUGCAUACUGCUGACGAUGGAAGCAGCGGCGUCACAAGCCUCCACUGCUUUGCAUCCAAACCACCAGACAAGAGCACGGCGACGAUGACAAUGAUAUCCACGGCCCCGCAUCCUCUUUUCCGCCUCUGCCUUUCUUUUCCUUCAUGCGUUGUCGUACGCUUGCUGACGCAAG